AGUGAACGCUGGCGGUAGGCCUAACACAUGCAAGUCGAACGGCAGCACAGUAAGAGCUUGCUCUUACGGGUGGCGAGUGGCGGACGAGUGAGGAAUACAUCGGAAUCUACUUUUUCGUGGGGGAUAACGUAGGGAAACUUACGCUAAUACCGCAUACGACCUACGGGUGAAAGCAGGGGAUCUUCGGACCUUGCGCGAUUGAAUGAGCCGAUGUCGGAUUAGCUAGUUGGCGGGGUAAAGGCCCACCAAGGCGACGAUCCGUAGCUGGCCUGAGAGGAUGAUCAGCCACACUGGAACUGAGACACGGUCCAGACUCCUACGGGAGGCAGCAGUGGGGAAUAUUGGACAAUGGGCGCAAGCCUGAUCCAGCCAUACCGCGUGGGUGAAGAAGGCCUUCGGGUUGUAAAGCCCUUUUGUUGGGAAAGAAAAGCAGCAGGUUAAUACCCCGCUGUUCUGACGGUACCCAAAGAAUAAGCACCGGCUAACUUCGUG
Molecule: ribosomal RNA, 492 nt
Filed under: uncultured bacterium
Lineage: Bacteria
Description: partial 16S ribosomal RNA
Rfam family: Bacterial small subunit ribosomal RNA
Source: RNAcentral